RNAcentral lists this ribosomal RNA (253 nucleotides) under uncultured bacterium. RNAcentral describes it as "partial 16S ribosomal RNA". It matches the Rfam family "Bacterial small subunit ribosomal RNA", at positions 524 to 776 of the family's 1533-position model. The record is from RNAcentral.
UACAGAGGGUGCAAGCGUUAAUCGGAAUUACUGGGCGUAAAGCGAGCGUAGUCGGUUAUUUAAGUCGGGUGUGAAAGCCCCGGGCUCAACCUGGGAAUUGCAUUCGAUACUGGAUAGCUAGAGUUCGGCAGAGGGAAGCGGAAUUUCCGGUGUAGCGGUGAAAUGCGUAGAUAUCUGCAGGAACACCCGUGGCGAAAGCGGCGAGCUGGACCACUACUGACGCUGAAGAACGAAAGCUAGGGGAGCAAACGGG